CAUAGCGACUAUCGUGGCAUAUCAAUAAGCGGAGGAAAAGAAACUAACUAGGAUUCCCUCAGUAACGGCGAGUGAAGCGGGAAGAGCUCAAAUUUGAAAUCUUCAAGGUUUUACCUUGACGAAUUGUAGUUUAAAGAAGUGUUUUCUGUUGGAAUUUUGGUAAAAGUUCUUUGGAAAAAGACAUCAAAGAGGGUGAGAAUCCCGUAUUUGACCAUUAUUUCCAGCUUUGUGAUACACUUUCAAAGAGUCGGAUUGUUUGGGAAUGCAGUCCAAAAUGGGUGGUAAAUUUCAUCUAAAGCUAAAUAUUGGCGAGAGACCGAUAGCGAACAAGUACCGUGAGGGAAAGAUGAAAAGAACUUUGAAAAGAGAGUUAAACAGUACGUGAAAUUGUCAAAAGGGAAGCGUUUGACACCAGUGUUGUUUUUCUCGAAAAUCAAUUAAAAAUGAUUGGAUUUUGUGUUGUAUUGACUUUAUCAGCUUUCUGCACUCUUUUCCUGUCUUUUUUAAUGCACUUUUCGUUUAACAAGUCAACAUCAAUUUCUUUUGUUGUAAAAGAGGUCAUUGGAAGGUGGCUUUCUUUUCGGAGAAAGUGUUUAUAGCCUUGUGCCUCUGCAAUCGGAGAGAUUGAGGUCUGCAGCGUAGAUCCUUCGGGGUUAGAUACAUUUGUGCUAAGUUAUAGCCUUUCAUAGACAACUUGUUGACUAUGAUUAGUCAUUGUAGCUUACUCGCUUAUGCUAUUUUACCUACGCUUAGGAUGUUGAUAUGCAUGACUGAUAU
Molecule: ribosomal RNA, 777 nt
Filed under: uncultured Neocallimastigales
Lineage: Eukaryota; Fungi; Neocallimastigomycota; Neocallimastigomycetes; Neocallimastigales
Description: partial large subunit ribosomal RNA
Rfam family: Eukaryotic large subunit ribosomal RNA
Source: RNAcentral